UCAUUCGAGGAGUAGUGACAACAACUAACGAGACUGCUCCCUCUGGAACAGUCAUCGAAAUGGGUACAAUUUAAACCCUUUAACGAGGAUCAAUGAGAGGGCAAGUCUGGUGCCAGCAGCCGCGUAAUUCCAGCUCUCAGUGUAUGUCAUUUUUUGCUGCGGUUAAAAAGCUCGUAGUUGGAUCUGAGCCUUUGGGUACGGUUCAUCUUCUGAUGAUACUGUGUCCGGGGUUAAUUUCGUCGGUUCUCCGGCGAGAGUUACUCUGAAUAAAUCAGAGUGCUCAAAACAAGCGUUUCGCUUGAAUGUUUUUGCAUGGAAUAAUGGAAAAGGACUUCGGUUCCUUACUGUUGGUUUCGGAAUUGGAUUAAUGAUUAAGAGGGACCAACGGGGGCAUGCGUACCGCUACGCGAGAGGUGAAAUUCAUGGACCGUAGCGUGACGAACUAAAGCGAAAGCUUUGCCAAGAAAUGUCUUCAUUAAUCAAGAAC
Molecule: ribosomal RNA, 487 nt
Filed under: Mesorhabditis sp. AW-2011
Lineage: Eukaryota; Metazoa; Nematoda; Chromadorea; Rhabditida; Rhabditidae
Description: SSU rRNA
Rfam family: Eukaryotic small subunit ribosomal RNA
Source: RNAcentral